UGGACCGACUAUUAUGCGAAUC
Molecule: non-coding RNA, 22 nt
Filed under: Arabidopsis thaliana (thale cress)
Lineage: Eukaryota; Viridiplantae; Streptophyta; Magnoliopsida; Brassicales; Brassicaceae
Source: RNAcentral